GUGGGGAAUAUUGGACAAUGGGCGCAAGCCUGAUCCAGCCAUGCCGCGUGAGUGAUGAAGGCCUUAGGGUUGUAAAGCUCUUUCAGUGGGGACGAUAAUGACGGUACCCACAGAAGAAGCCCCGGCUAACUUCGUGCCAGCAGCCGCGGUAAUACGAAGGGGGCUAGCGUUGUUCGGAUUUACUGGGCGUAAAGCGCACGUAGGCGGGUCGUUAAGUCGGGGGUGAAAUCCUGGAGCUCAACUCCAGAACUGCCUUCGAUACUGGCGACCUAGAGUCCGGAAGAGGUGAGUGGAACUCCUAGUGUAGAGGUGGAAUUCGUAGAUAUUAGGAAGAACCCCAGUGGCGAAGGCGGCUCACUGGUCCGGUACUGACGCUGAGGUGCGAAAGCGUGGGGAGCAAACAGGAUUAGAAACCCCAGUAGUCC
Molecule: ribosomal RNA, 425 nt
Filed under: uncultured bacterium
Lineage: Bacteria
Description: partial 16S ribosomal RNA
Rfam family: Bacterial small subunit ribosomal RNA
Source: RNAcentral